This 301-nucleotide ribosomal RNA is filed under the name uncultured bacterium. Its description in RNAcentral is "partial 16S ribosomal RNA". It matches the Rfam family "Bacterial small subunit ribosomal RNA", at positions 509 to 807 of the family's 1533-position model. The record is from RNAcentral.
CAGCCGCCGCGGUAAAACGGAGGAUCCAAGCGUUAUCCGGAAUCAUUGGGUUUAAAGGGUCCGUAGGCGGUCUUGUAAGUCAGUGGUGAAAGCCCAUCGCUCAACGGUGGAACGGCCAUUGAUACUGCAGGACUUGAAUUAUUGGGAAGUAACUAGAAUAUGUAGUGUAGCGGUGAAAUGCUUAGAGAUUACAUGGAAUACCAAUUGCGAAGGCAGGUUACUACCAAUUGAUUGACGCUGAUGGACGAAAGCGUGGGUAGCGAACAGGAUUAGAUACCCGUGUAGUCCCUGUCUCUUAUAC